Molecule: ribosomal RNA, 287 nt
Filed under: Boletus edulis
Lineage: Eukaryota; Fungi; Basidiomycota; Agaricomycetes; Boletales; Boletaceae
Description: partial 28S ribosomal RNA
Rfam family: Eukaryotic large subunit ribosomal RNA
Source: RNAcentral
GCAUAUCAAUAAGCGGAGGAAAAGAAACUAACAAGGAUUCCCCUAGUAACUGCGAGUGAAGCGGGAAAAGCUCAAAUUUUGAAUCUGGCGGUCUUUGCAGGCCGUCCGAGUUGUAAUCUAGAGAAGCGUCUUCCGCGCCGGCCUGUGUACAAGUCUCCUGGAAGGGAGCGUCAUAGAGGGUGAGAAUCCCGUCUCUGACACGGACCACCGGUGCUAUGUGAUGCGCUCUCGACGAGUCGAGUGGUUUGGGAAUGCAGCUCAAAAAGGGUGGUAAACUCCAUCUAAAG